RNAcentral lists this ribosomal RNA (274 nucleotides) under uncultured bacterium. Its description in RNAcentral is "partial 16S ribosomal RNA". It matches the Rfam family "Bacterial small subunit ribosomal RNA", at positions 523 to 796 of the family's 1533-position model. The record is from RNAcentral.
AUACGGAGGGUGCAAGCGUUGCUCGGAAUCACUGGGCGUAAAGGACGCGUAGGCGGGUUUGUAAGUCAGGUGUGAAAUCCUACAGCUCAACUGUAGAACUGCGCUUGAAACUACAGACCUAGAGUAUGGAAGGGGCAGAUGGAAUUAGUGGUGUAGGGGUAAAAUCCGUAGAUAUCACUAGGAAUACCGAAAGCGAGGGCGAUCUGCUGGGACAUUACUGACGCUGAGGCGUGAAAGCGUGGGGAGCAAACAGGAUUAGAAACCCGAGUAGUCC